GUCGUGGUAGUUUAAUAAAACAUUAGUCUGUGACACUAAAAAUGGAAAAUACCCCACAAC
This 60-nucleotide transfer RNA is filed under the name Brookesia tuberculata (Mount d'Ambre leaf chameleon). RNAcentral's name for it is "tRNA-His". It matches the Rfam family "tRNA". Rfam says of the family: Transfer RNA (tRNA) molecules are approximately 80 nucleotides in length. The record is from RNAcentral. Lineage: Eukaryota; Metazoa; Chordata; Lepidosauria; Squamata; Chamaeleonidae.